GAGAUGAUAGAAAAAUGUCCUCUCUCACUGCAGAAAAGCACUCUCAAAUUUCCCUGCUACUACCUGAAACAUGGUGAUGCUUUUAAAGCAGACAUUUUCCAUGGCCUUAGCUGUCUACAGGUCUGUCCUAAAACCGAAGUAGCCACUGUGCAUACCUAUCUUUGGAUGAGAUCUGAAAAGAAGCUUGAAAAUUUUAUGUGGCAAUCUACAUAUGGCAGACUGUAGGUUUUGAUCAGCAACUUCUUUACCGUUAGAAUUAUGUACACUCUCUCAGAUGCAGUGAACAUACAUUGCAACAACAGAUUCUACUUCGGGGAGUAUACGCAGCUUGAAUCCCUGACUUACUGCUUGAUGGCCUCACUUGGUUGGUACAGUAUGACAACAGGUAAUAGAUACAAUAACAGUAAAACAGUCAUCAUCACUGCUGGGACUGGAAACCCCCACCACUGCUUUUUUAGCUUUCCUCAGCUGGAAAGUUUUGACAUCUGCUGGUUUGGGACAUAGCUGAACAGCUG
RNAcentral lists this long non-coding RNA (515 nucleotides) under Dromaius novaehollandiae (emu). RNAcentral's name for it is "lncRNA (ENSDNVG00000008975.1)". Lineage: Eukaryota; Metazoa; Chordata; Aves; Casuariiformes; Dromaiidae. The record is from RNAcentral.